Molecule: ribosomal RNA, 244 nt
Filed under: Staphylococcus aureus
Lineage: Bacteria; Bacillati; Bacillota; Bacilli; Caryophanales; Staphylococcaceae
Description: partial 16S ribosomal RNA
Rfam family: Bacterial small subunit ribosomal RNA
Source: RNAcentral
UUUUAUGGAGAGUUUGAUCCUGGCUCAGGAUGAACGCUGGCGGCGUGCCUAAUACAUGCAAGUCGAGCGAACGGACGAGAAGCUUGCUUCUCUGAUGUUAGCGGCGGACGGGGGAGUAACACGUGGAUAACCUACCUAUAAGACUGGGAUAACUUCGGGAAACCGGAGCUAAUACCGGAUAAAAUUUUUAAACGAAUGGGUCAAAAGCGAAAGACGGUCUUGCUGUCACUUAUAGGAUGAUCCG